RNAcentral lists this ribosomal RNA (426 nucleotides) under uncultured bacterium. RNAcentral describes it as "partial 16S ribosomal RNA". It matches the Rfam family "Bacterial small subunit ribosomal RNA", at positions 354 to 796 of the family's 1533-position model. The record is from RNAcentral.
GUGAGGAAUUUUCCGCAAUGGGCGAAAGCCUGACGGAGCAAUGCCGCGUGAAGGAUGAAGGCCUAUGGGUUGUAAACUUCUUUUCUUAGAGAAGAAUAUUGACGGUAUCUGAGGAAUAAGCAUCGGCUAACUCUGUGCCAGCAGCCGCGGUAAGACAGAGGAUGCAAGCGUUAUCCGGAAUGAUUGGGCGUAAAGCGUCUGUAGGUGGCUUCAAAAGUCUCCUGUCAAAGAUCAGGGCUUAACCCUGGGCCGGCAGGUGAAACUCUGAGGCUAGAGUUUGGUAGAGGCAGAGGGAAUGCCCGGUGGAGCGGUGAAAUGCGUAGAGAUCGGGAGGAACACCAAAGGCGAAAGCACUCUGCUGGGCCACAACUGACACUGAGAGACGAAAGCGAGGGGAGCAAAAGGGAUUAGAUACCCGGGUAGUCC